GGAAGAUGCCGCUAAAUGGUCGGCAACCGGUCUUGAAAACCGGGGUACAGGUAACUGUAGGGGUUCGAUUCCUCCAUCUUCCGCC
Molecule: transfer RNA, 85 nt
Filed under: Nostoc sp. NIES-2111
Lineage: Bacteria; Bacillati; Cyanobacteriota; Cyanophyceae; Nostocales; Nostocaceae
Description: tRNA-Ser
Rfam family: tRNA
About the family: Transfer RNA (tRNA) molecules are approximately 80 nucleotides in length. Their secondary structure includes four short double-helical elements and three loops (D, anti-codon, and T loops).
Source: RNAcentral